This 447-nucleotide ribosomal RNA is filed under the name uncultured bacterium. RNAcentral's name for it is "bacterial SSU rRNA". It matches the Rfam family "Bacterial small subunit ribosomal RNA", at positions 355 to 825 of the family's 1533-position model. The record is from RNAcentral.
UGGGGAAUAUUGGACAAUGGGCGCAAGCCUGAUCCAGCCAUGCCGCGUGAGUGACGAAGGCCUUAGGGUUGUAAAGCUCUUUUGGCGGGGAAGAUAAUGACGGUACCCGCAGAAUAAGCUCCGGCUAACUUCGUGCCAGCAGCCGCGGUAAUACGAAGGGAGCUAGCGUUGUUCGGAAUCACUGGGCGUAAAGCGCACGUAGGUGGGCAGUUAAGUCAGGGGUGAAAGCCCGAGGCUCAACCUCGGAAUUGCCUCUGAUACUGGCUGUCUAGAGUUCGAGAGAGGUGAGUGGAAUUCCUAGUGUAGAGGUGAAAUUCGUAGAUAUUAGGAAGAACACCGGUGGCGAAGGCGGCUCACUGGCUCGAUACUGACACUGAGGUGCGAAAGCGUGGGGAGCAAACAGGAUUAGAUACCCACGUAGUCCCUGAGCGGGCUGGCAAGGCGCAU